RNAcentral lists this ribosomal RNA (253 nucleotides) under uncultured bacterium. RNAcentral's name for it is "partial 16S ribosomal RNA". It matches the Rfam family "Bacterial small subunit ribosomal RNA", at positions 524 to 776 of the family's 1533-position model. The record is from RNAcentral.
UACAGAGGAUGCAAGCGUUAUCCGGAAUGAUUGGGCGUAAAGCGUCUGUAGGUGGCUUUUUAAGUCCGCCGUCAAAUCCCAGGGCUCAACUCUGGACAGGCGGUGGAAACUACCAAGCUGGAGUACGGUAGGGGCAGAGGGAAUUUCCGGUGGAGCGGUGAAAUGCGUAGAGAUUAGGAAGAACACCAGUGGCGAAGGCGACUUUCUGGACUGUAACUGACGCUGAGGCACGAAAGCGUGGGGAGCAAACAGG